UACGGGGGGGGUAAGCGUUGUUCGGAAUUACUGGGCGUAAAGGGCUCGUAGGCGGCCAACUAAGUCAGACGUGAAAUCCCUCAGCUUAACUGGGGAACUGCGUCUGAUACUGGAUGGCUUGGAUCCGGGAGAGGGAUGCGGAAUUCCAGGUGUAGCGGUGAAAUGCGUAGAUAUUCGCAAGAACACCAGUGGCGAAGGCGGCUCACUGGCCCGGUACUGACGCUGAGGUGCGAAAGCGUGGGGAGCAAACAGG
This 253-nucleotide ribosomal RNA is filed under the name uncultured bacterium. RNAcentral's name for it is "partial 16S ribosomal RNA". It matches the Rfam family "Bacterial small subunit ribosomal RNA", at positions 524 to 776 of the family's 1533-position model. The record is from RNAcentral.